Molecule: long non-coding RNA, 3143 nt
Organism: Lates calcarifer (barramundi perch)
Lineage: Eukaryota; Metazoa; Chordata; Actinopteri; Centropomidae
Exons: 9
Source: RefSeq, a predicted model, not a curated record
AAAGCUACACUUUCCCCGAGUCCACACCACACUAUCCACCUGUAAUAUUUUCCUAUUCUGUCUCUUUUUUUUCCUCCAUGGCACAUUUGCGGAGAGCUGAUCUCAGAGCGGUAGUGUCUUUAAUCAGCUCUACGGGCUGUAAAGUGAGAGAAUCUAAACGUGACGUCAAUGCCUAGUAACUGACGCAGCCCUUCAACAAAAAUGGCUUUUUAUUUAUUAUUUUUUUUCUUCUUCUCGUCAGCAAAGCUUAAUUACUAAAUUUUACAGUGCUCCGUCGACUAAAAGCAAAAAGAAAAUCCCGCAGGGAGCGUCGGGUAAUCCGCGUUCAUCAGUAUUUGGACCUAUUUUGCGUUUGCAUGAGUUUUCAGCUGCUGAAGUGACACUGGGACGAGAAGCUUCUGAAGAGGGCGACAAGACAUCAGAUAUUGUCGAUGAUAUUGGCAGCGACGACGAGUUCCAGAUUUUAGUUGUUGAGGAGGGGAAAAGUAGUGUGAUUUAAGAAUGAGGAGGAGGUGGUGGUGCUGCUGCUGUUGAAGGCACAUUGGGUUCAAAAAAAAAAAAAAAAAAAAUCACUGCAAUGAUGCAACAGAGGGGAAUCGGGGCUCUUGUGCAGAGUUGGAGAGGCAAAAUUAAUUUACAUUACAUGCACUUCACGUAACGUUCCUAAGCGAUGCCUUUUGUGAGUGUUUUUUUUUCCUUCCUCGUACUGUGACCUAAAAAUAGCAACAUAGUUUUGAUCGUGCGCCAGAAAUAGACAGACGGGUAUCACUUGUAUAAAAAGGGAGGCGAUUCUGAGCAAACUUGGACGUGCCACUGUAAGCCUACAUAAUAACAAAUGGAGGUCUUAAUCUGUUGCAUUUCUUCCAGACUCUUGUUGCGGCUUCUCACUAAAAUCUCAAUCUCUCUCUUGUUUCUCUUUCUCCACUUUAGGACAAGGACGCGCCUGCACCACGCGAGGGGAACCCUUCUCUGAUGAGCGCUUACGGACGCCUUUUCCCUCCGUUUUCUUGCUUUUAAGAGGAGUCGUACUGACAGAGAAGCGGCGGUGGAGGAGGAAGAGGAGGAGAGGAGGGAGUGAAGUGAAGGAGCUGUUGCUGCAGCAGAGACCAGGCGCACCGCAUGGGGAAACCCGGGAGCUGUCCAGCAGCAAUGGAGGGAACAGUGACAACAACAAAAAACACAAAGGCAAAGAUGGAAACGAGGUGACUUGUGAGCCCGGGUGGACCCUGCUGCUGCUGCUGCUGCUGCUGCUGAUGAUGAUGAUGAUGCUGCUGCUGCUGCUGCUGAUGAUGAUGAUGCUGCUGUUGGAGCCUCCAGCUGUGCGCCGGAGACUAAAAGAGAGGGGACCCACGUUUUGGAUGUUUUCACCGAGGAGUGCACAGACAGAGAGAAAGAGAGACACCGACCCUCCUCCUCCUUCUUCUUCUACUUCUUCUUGUCCUCCCCCUCUUCCUCACCCAGAGAAAGGGGCCUGAGGUGAGGAUUGACAGAGGGGAAAUCCUGACUGACUGAAACCCAGCUGAUGAUGUCUCUCCUUCCUCCUCCUCCUCCUUCAGUUUCUCCUCUUCUCUCUCUCUACCUUUACCACCUUCGCUUUCUUCUCCCUUCUUCACCCACCCUCCCCCCUUCUCCUCCCUCUCUCCAGCCUGUUCAUCUCUUUCUCCUCCUCAUUCUCCCCGCUCUCGUGCGACAGGAUUAAGGACUUGGAGUAUGGAGUCCCACGGCCCUGAAGUGACGACAACACGUGGUGUCCUGUGGACCAGAUUGUGUUCUUGCCGUCACUGCAGGACCGAAAUGAUGAUUUUAAAAGGAGAAAAAAUGGAAACUAACAGGGUUGAUGAAGCAGAAGAAGACGGAGCAGAGAGGGACAAUAAAGGCUGUUGUUCCCGGCAGGGAGGGAGGAGGCAGCUGGACCAGCAGAGAGCUCUGAUCAGCCAACACCUUUCUUUUUUUUCCUAGUAACACCACCCGAAACCCUGAACGUCAAGCUGGUUUGAGUGGGACACACCCGCCCCCCCCUCGAGUCCUGGAAGGAUAAACAGAUAAACAGGACAAUGUGACAGCAGCCACCAUGUGAGGCAGCUACAUACGUUCACCACUGUCUGCUCAGCUGGAUGUAACACACACACACUUUUGCAGAUGCAGCUGCUGUACGGUUGCUGUCGUCGUUGGAUCAAACAGGACUGUAGCUGUUGGGCUGCAAGGACACGACCGAUACGUGAAGGUGGACUCUCAAAACGUCUGUUAGGAGUGUGUAUGUGUGUGUGUGUGUGUGUGUGUGUGUGUGUGUGUGUGUCAUAUGUGAAAUUAUUUUUAAUCUUAUCAAUAUAAGCACACUGAGGCUACUUUUGUUUCUCUAAUGUCACUUUGCUGGCUGUGUUACACCACACUGAAAUGCUGUGCAUGUGUUAUUUUAAUGUGAAAUCUGUUGGCAAAUAUCUGUGUGCAAAAAUUAGGUCCUGUAAGGUGAUAAAUAUUUAUUCAUUUUUAGAUGAAUGUAUAAUAUCGUGUGUGGAAACGUGCCAGAAUACAAAAUCACUGCUGCCAAAGUGAUUUUACUGAAGAUUAUUUAGUUAAAAAUGACAUUUUGUAAAUAUACUUUCACUCUGCACGUUGCAACAGUGAGUGAGAGACACCUGGUCAGUAACACAUUUAAUUUCAUCCCGUUUGAAAUUGUUACACAACUUGCUGCUCCUUCCUCCCGGUGUCACGUUGACUUCGAUCCCUCCACUUGUGUCAAAGAAUGCGAGCAGCUGCAUGACCGACUGUCAGCAUGUAGACACAUUUUUAUACUCUCUUCCCUCUGCUGAGUACAUGACAGCCUUUACUUUGAGCCUCACAGCCUCGGUUUGUCAGAAUUUCAUGUUUAGUUUGGGUGUGUGAGUGUCUGUGUAUGUGUGUGUGUGUGUGUGUGUGAGAGAGAGAGAGAGAGAGAGGAGGGAGACAGGAAGCAUGGCGGCACAGGGGGUGUAUUGGAGACUACAAAAUGUUGUUGCAAACAGCCUUUCUGGGUCGGAGUGAGGAGCAGAGAGCACACACUGCUGAGGAGAGAAUCGUGACAGUCGGUUGUGCUGAAGCAUCCAGCGCCUGUGAGCAUGACUGGAAAUGUUACAAAAACAGUGAAAUAAAGCGAUGGGAAUUCA